RNAcentral lists this ribosomal RNA (250 nucleotides) under uncultured bacterium. Its description in RNAcentral is "partial 16S ribosomal RNA". It matches the Rfam family "Bacterial small subunit ribosomal RNA", at positions 524 to 773 of the family's 1533-position model. The record is from RNAcentral.
GACGUAGGGCGCAAGCGUUGUCCGGAUUUAUUGGGCGUAAAGAGCUCGUAGGCGGCCUGUCGCGUCGACUGUGAAAACCCGAGGCUUAACCACGGGACUGCAGUCGAUACGGGCAGGCUAGAGUGCGGUAGGGGAGACUGGAAUUCCUGGUGUAGCGGUGAAAUGCGCAGAUAUCAGGAGGAACACCGGUGGCGAAGGCGGGUCUCUGGGCCGACACUGACGCUGAGGAGCGAAAGCGUGGGGAGCGAAC